AGAGUUUGAUCCUGGCUCAGAUUGAACGCUGGCGGCAGGCCUAACACAUGCAAGUCGAGCGGAUGAAGGGAGCUUGCUCCUGGAUUCAGCGGCGGACGGGUGAGUAAUGCCUAGGAAUCUGCCUGGUAGUGGGGGAUAACGUCCGGAAACGGGCGCUAAUACCGCAUACGUCCUGAGGGAGAAAGUGGGGGAUCUUCGGACCUCACGCUAUCAGAUGAGCCUAGGUCGGAUUAGCUAGUUGGUGGGGUAAAGGCCUACCAAGGCGACGAUCCGUAACUGGUCUGAGAGGAUGAUCAGUCACACUGGAACUGAGACACGGUCCAGACUCCUACGGGAGGCAGCAGUGGGGAAUAUUGGACAAUGGGCGAAAGCCUGAUCCAGCCAUGCCGCGUGUGUGAAGAAGGUCUUCGGAUUGUAAAGCACUUUAAGUUGGGAGGAAGGGCAGUAAGUUAAUACCUUGCUGUUUUGACGUUACCAACAGAAUAAGCACCGGCUAACUUCGUGCCAGCAGCCGCGGUAAUACGAAGGGUGCAAGCGUUAAUCGGAAUUACUGGGCGUAAAGCGCGCGUAGGUGGUUCAGCAAGUUGGAUGUGAAAUCCCCGGGCUCAACCUGGGAACUGCAUCCAAAACUACUGAGCUAGAGUACGGUAGAGGGUGGUGGAAUUUCCUGUGUAGCGGUGAAAUGCGUAGAUAUAGGAAGGAACACCAGUGGCGAAGGCGACCACCUGGACUGAUACUGACACUGAGGUGCGAAAGCGUGGGGGAGCAAACAGGAUUAGAUACCCUGGUAGUCCACGCCGUAAACGAUGUCGACUAGCCGUUGGGAUCCUUGAGAUCUUAGUGGCGCAGCUAACGCGAUAAGUCGACCGCCUGGGGAGUACGGCCGCAAGGUUAAAACUCAAAUGAAUUGACGGGGGCCCGCACAAGCGGUGGAGCAUGUGGUUUAAUUCGAAGCAACGCGAAGAACCUUACCUGGCCUUGACAUGCUGAGAACUUUCCAGAGAUGGAUUGGUGCCUUCGGGAACUCGGACACAGGUGCUGCAUGGCUGUCGUCAGCUCGUGUCGCAAGAUGUUGGGUUAAGUCCCGUAACGAGCGCAACCCUUGUCCUUAGUUACCAGCACCUCGGGUGGGCACUCUAAGGAGACUGCCGGUGACAAACCGGAGGAAGGUGGGGAUGACGUCAAGUCAUCAUGGCCCUUACGGCCAGGGCUACACACGUGCUACAAUGGUCGGUACAAAGGGUUGCCAAGCCGCGAGGUGGAGCUAAUCCCAUAAAACCGAUCGUAGUCCGGAUCGCAGUCUGCAACUCGACUGCGUGAAGUCGGAAUCGCUAGUAAUCGUGAAUCAGAAUGUCACGGUGAAUACGUUCCCGGGCCUUGUACACACCGCCCGUCACACCAUGGGAGUGGGUUGCUCCAGAAGUAGCUAGUCUAACCGCAAGGGGGACGGUUACCACGGAGUGAUUCAUGACUGGGGUGAAGUCGUAACAAGGUAACCAAGGGCGAA
RNAcentral lists this ribosomal RNA (1507 nucleotides) under uncultured bacterium. RNAcentral describes it as "partial 16S ribosomal RNA". It matches the Rfam family "Bacterial small subunit ribosomal RNA". The record is from RNAcentral.